GCUCCGUUGGUGAACCAGCGGAGGGAUCAUUACAGAGUUGCAAAACUCCCAAACCAUUGUGAACGUUACCUAUCCCGUUGCUUCGGCGGGCGGCCCGGGCCCCGCGCCCGGCGCCCCCCGGCCCCCCGUGGGCGCCCGCCGGAGGUAAACCAAGCCCUUGAAUUGCAUGGCCUCUCUGAGUCUUCUGUACUGAAUAAGUCAAAACUUUCAACAACGGAUCUCUUGGUUCUGGCAUCGAUGAAGAGCGCAGC
RNAcentral lists this unclassified non-coding RNA (251 nucleotides) under plant metagenome. RNAcentral describes it as "partial contains small subunit ribosomal RNA, internal transcribed spacer 1, and 5.8S ribosomal RNA". The stretch from base 203 to 251 matches the Rfam family "5.8S ribosomal RNA", at positions 1 to 49 of the family's 154-position model. The record is from RNAcentral.